GUGGGGAAUCUUGCGCAAUGGGCGAAAGCCUGACGCAGCCAUGCCGCGUGAAUGAUGAAGGUCUUAGGAUUGUAAAAUUCUUUCACCGGGGACGAUAAUGACGGUACCCGGAGAAGAAGCUCCGGCUAACUUCGUGCCAGCAGCCGCGGUAAUACGAAGGGGGCUAGCGUUGCUCGGAAUUACUGGGCGUAUAGGGCGCGUAGGCGGACAGCUUAGUCAGAGGUGAAAGCCCAGGGCUCAACCUUGGAAUUGCCUUUGAUACUGGCUGUCUUGAGUUUGGGAGAGGUGAGUGGAACUCCGAGUGUAGAGGUGAAAUUCGUAGAGAUUCGGAAGAACACCAGUGGCGAAGGCGACUCACUGGCCCAAUACUGACGCUGAGGCACGAAAGCGUGGGGAUCGAACAGGAUUAGAUACCACUGUAGUCC
RNAcentral lists this ribosomal RNA (425 nucleotides) under uncultured bacterium. Its description in RNAcentral is "partial 16S ribosomal RNA". It matches the Rfam family "Bacterial small subunit ribosomal RNA", at positions 354 to 796 of the family's 1533-position model. The record is from RNAcentral.